UGGGGAAUAUUGCACAAUGGAGGGAACUCUGAUGCAGCGACGCCGCGUGAACGAAGAAGGCCUUCGAGUCGUAAAGUUCUUUUAUAUGGGAAGAUAAUGACGGUACCAUAAGAAGAAGCCCCGGCUAACUACGUGCCAGCAGCCGCGGUAAUACGUAGGGGGCUAGCGUUGUCCGGAAUCACUGGGCGUAAAGGGUUCGCAGGCGGAAAUGCAAGUCAGGUGUAAAAGGCAGUAGCUUAACUACUGUAAGCAUUUGAAACUGCAUAUCUUGAGAAGUGUAGAAGUAAAAUGGAUUUUUAGUGUAGCGGUGAAAUGCGUAGAUAUUAAAAAGGAAACCGGUGGCGAAGGCGAGUUACUGGGCUCAUUAUGGCGCUGAAGAACGAAAGCGUGGGUAGCAAACAGG
Molecule: ribosomal RNA, 403 nt
Filed under: bacterium
Lineage: Bacteria
Description: partial 16S ribosomal RNA
Rfam family: Bacterial small subunit ribosomal RNA
Source: RNAcentral